GCACGGGUGCGUAACACGUGGGUAAUCAACCCUUCAGCUCGGGAUAACGCCUUGAGAGGGGCGCUGAUACCGGAUGCGACGCGAGGAGCCUCGGCGCUUCGCGGGAAAGAUUCGCAAGGAUCACUGAAGGACGAGCCUGCGGCCCAUCAGCUAGUUGGUGAGGUAAGAGCUCACCAAGGCGAAGACGGGUAGCUGGUCUGAGAGGAUGAUCAGCCACACUGGAACUGAGACACGGUCCAGACUCCUACGGGAGGCAGCAGUGGGGAAUAUUGCGCAAUGGGCGAAAGCCUGACGCAGCCACGCCGCGUGAGCGAUGAAGGCCUGGUCGUAAGACUCUGUGGGAGGAGAAGAAUAAAGACCUGUGAAGAAUAGGGCCGUUGACGGUAGUCUCCUUAGUCAAGCACCGGCUAACUCCGUG
RNAcentral lists this ribosomal RNA (418 nucleotides) under uncultured bacterium. RNAcentral's name for it is "bacterial SSU rRNA". It matches the Rfam family "Bacterial small subunit ribosomal RNA", at positions 100 to 507 of the family's 1533-position model. The record is from RNAcentral.